RNAcentral lists this ribosomal RNA (1360 nucleotides) under uncultured bacterium. Its description in RNAcentral is "bacterial SSU rRNA". It matches the Rfam family "Bacterial small subunit ribosomal RNA", at positions 28 to 1381 of the family's 1533-position model. The record is from RNAcentral.
GAUGAACGCUAGCGGCAGGCUUAACACAUGCAAGUCGAGGGGCAUCGGGAGGGAAGCUUGCUUUCCUUGCCGGCGACCGGCGCACGGGUGAGUAACACGUAUGCAACCUGCCCUCUUCAGGGGGACAACCUUCCGAAAGGGAGGCUAAUCCCGCGUAUAUCGGUUUCGGGCAUCCGAGAUCGAGGAAAGAUUCAUCGGAAGAGGAUGGGCAUGCGGCGCAUUAGCUUGACGGCGGGGUAACGGCCCACCGUGGCGACGAUGCGUAGGGGUUCUGAGAGGAAGGUCCCCCACACUGGUACUGAGACACGGACCAGACUCCUACGGGAGGCAGCAGUGAGGAAUAUUGGUCAAUGGGAGAGAUCCUGAACCAGCCAAGCCGCGUGAGGGAAGACGGCCCUAUGGGUUGUAAACCUCUUUUGUCGGAGAACAAAACCCGGGACGUGUCCCGGACUGCGUGUAUCCGAAGAAAAAGCAUCGGCUAACUCCGUGCCAGCAGCCGCGGUAAUACGGAGGAUGCGAGCGUUAUCCGGAUUUAUUGGGUUUAAAGGGUGCGUAGGCGGUCCGUUAAGUCAGCGGUAAAAUUGCGGGGCUCAACCCCGUCGAGCCGUUGAAACUGGCAGACUUGAGUUGGCGAGAAGUACGCGGAAUGCGCGGUGUAGCGGUGAAAUGCAUAGAUAUCGCGCAGAACUCCGAUUGCGAAGGCAGCGUACCGGCGCCAGACUGACGCUGAGGCACGAAAGCGUGGGGAUCGAACAGGAUUAGAUACCCUGGUAGUCCACGCAGUAAACGAUGAAUGCUGGUUGUCCGGGUCGAAUGAGAUCUGGGCGGCGAAGCGAAAGCGAUAAGCAUUCCACCUGGGGAGUACGCCGGCAACGGUGAAACUCAAAGGAAUUGACGGGGGCCCGCACAAGCGGAGGAACAUGUGGUUUAAUUCGAUGAUACGCGAGGAACCUUACCCGGGCUCAAACGGGAGUGGAAUGGACCAGAGACGGUUCAGCCUACGGGCCGCUUCCGAGGUGCUGCAUGGUUGUCGUCAGCUCGUGCCGUGAGGUGUCGGCUUAAGUGCCAUAACGAGCGCAACCCCCGCCGGCAGUUGCUAACGGGCAAUGCCGAGGACUCUGCCGGGACUGCCGCCGCAAGGCGAGAGGAAGGCGGGGAUGACGUCAAAUCAGCACGGCCCUUACGUCCGGGGCGACACACGUGUUACAAUGGGCGGUACAGCGGGAAGCCAGGCGGCGACGCCGAGCGGAACCCGAAAGCCGUUCUCAGUUCGGAUCGGAGUCUGCAACCCGACUCCGUGAAGCUGGAUUCGCUAGUAAUCGCGCAUCAGCCAUGGCGCGGUGAAUACGUUCCCGGGCCU